Molecule: long non-coding RNA, 240 nt
Organism: Cotesia glomerata
Lineage: Eukaryota; Metazoa; Arthropoda; Insecta; Hymenoptera; Braconidae
Exons: 3
Source: RefSeq, a predicted model, not a curated record
CUGGCGCGAGAGAUCUCUGCACACUAGGAGAGGGGUUUAAUGUUCCAGUGGUCGAUAAAGAAGAGUUUCUUAUUAACCACUGUAGACUUAGCCUAGCCUCGACUGUACUAGCAUGGGUUUUCUCUGUGGUUUCCCCAUGUUACUGGUCCAACAGCCUGAGAGGUGAGGUUCAGGGUAAAUGUGGUACAGAAAACACAAGUCGGUCCACAGCCGCAAAUAUAGAUAAAGCAUGAAAAAUUC